CCGACUACAAAAGUUCCCCCUGCCCUGUUGGGUAUCGCUGUCCAAAGGGAGCCGCCCAACCAAUAGCCUGCCCUCCUGGCUUCUUUGGUAACAUUACUCAUGCUGAGACAUUGAGUGACUGUCACCUGUGUCCAGCUGGCACCUUCAACCACCUGCUUGCUCAGAAGGCCUGCUUCCCCUGUGGCAGCUCCUCCACCUCAACAGCCGGUUCUUCUUCUUGCACCUGUAUCGUGAAUUGGACUGCCAGCCUGAGGUGAACAGACGGUGUUCUGCUGGUCAGGUACGUCUGGCAGCAUCCAGGGAGUGUGUGACACCUUCCCUCCACUCCUGCAAUACAACCUGUGGACAACAUGGAGGAACUCUGGAUGUGGCGAUGGGCAUCUGCCGGUGUGAGCGAUAUGUGUCCGCUGAAGAGCUUUGCAACACGUCCUGCCUCUUCACACUACCUCAGCUCUCCGCCCAGAUCUCACCAGACGGGCACCUGCUGCUCAGCUUAAAAGAAAGAGACAAGAUGGUGUGGGCAAGGACUGUGAUGGAUGUUUUAGGACCAGAUAUCCACGCAAAGGGUAUUGGUAAAAUCCAUUUGAUCCAGUUUGAUCCUGAAGGCGUGUUUGGUUGGAUUCCAACACAGAAAGAGCUCAUCAAUAACUUUCUGUCAGAACCGAUUAAACUCCUGAAGACAAGACAAAGAAAGAGGAGAGACAUGGAAGAUGCCGAGGAUUAUGAUGCUUCUGACACAGCUGUCCUUCCUCGUAUCCCCAACCCCAUUGUCUGUCUGUCCUCGGGUGACAUGCUCAUUUUCCAUCUCACCAUCAACCACACUGACCGACAUCGGAGCCACUUUCCAGUGUAUCAGAAAGACCACCUGUUUAACAGUAAUCCCAGUUGGGACUUUGGUGCCUUCAGACGACUGCAGAUACUCAUGAAGCAGACCAACUUGAACUCUACAAGGUUCGCCCACGUGUUUUCAGCAGCUGGGAAGUACGCGUUUGUCGACAGCACCGUCCCAGAGCGGAGUAUGGUGGUGGUGGUCAGUGAUCAGGGGACAGUCUGUGACCCUCGGGCCUCCGUCUUCCAGCCCAUGACCCCGGCACAGCUGGUGAAGCACGGGAUUAUCAAGCAGCACAGACUCAACCUUCUUCCUGACUGGGGAGUGAUAGCAGGGGUCCUUGGUCUGCUGCUGGUUCUCGUUGUGGUUUUGACCACCACCGUGAUAGUUCUGCGACCCGGUAAAGCAAAACUCGUCUCCCAAUGGAGGAAUAAGCCCAAGUGGCGCAGCCUCGGGGAGCCCUUCUGUCCGGUGGAUUGUGUUUGCAGUGAAGACAACAAAGUUGUCCCAAGCGUAGGUGGCUUACUAGGUAGUAGAGGUGAAGGAGAGGGAGCAGAAGCCGAGGAGCCCGCUGUUUCAAAAGGAGGAAAUGUUCCAGGGCGCUGCGAUUUGGAGGAGUUGAAUGUCAAGACUCUGUUUGACAAACUGGAGGAUCAGAACUUACACUUCGCCUCACAACUGGCCCGACACCGCAAAGACACACAGGAGUUUUAUAGAAACAUCUGUCAACAGACUGAAACACUCAAGAAUGUCCUAGACAAUAUGGAUCAUAGAAAACUAAGCUUUCUAAAGGAACUGCUUGUCCAUAAUGCAAUGAAGAAUAAACCAUUCGACUGCAGUGCAAGAGGGAGAGAUUUACAAGUUGAGACCUCUACAGCAUUACUAGGAGAUGUACUCCAGUCAGUAGAAGCUCUUCUCUGCAAGCUGGCGGGAGAAGCUUGGCAGAACCAGGAUUUAGCCGCCCCUCCAUACUGUCACAUUGGUCCUCGUGAUGCCAGGGAAUGUGAACCACGAGCUGGAUACAGACAAUCUGGUGACAACAUGUGUUAUACACAGUUUUCGUCAGCGAAUGUGAUCAAAGCAGAGCCAGUACAUCUACCGAGCACAGAGUCCUGUUUCAGUGACCACGACUUGUCCAGACUGCAGCUACAGAACAGUCUGUCCAGGAAAACAAUGAAGGGCAACUUAUCCCGACUGCCCUCGACAACCUCUCCGUGCAACACUCAGCCGUCUUCCUGUUCGGUUGCCAGGUGAUGCAGUUGCUUGCGAACAGCCACCUGUUCCCCCCUGUGCUUCUCCUAAUGGCCAAGUCGAUACCUGUUCCUUUAUCUUCCCCAAAUGAGGGUCUGCUGACACAUUGUUCAAGGGACUUUUAUUUUGAUGCAUCCAAUCAAAUCCUUUAUCUGUCAGAGGAAAAGCUUCAUCACGUUGGACAUUUCAUCGCCCUCAUUCUGCAGUCCAUGGCCUACAUAGUGUCAGGAUCCAAACCUCUGAGUUUCAUGGAAGCCCUUCAUGAGGCAAUAUCAGCUUUAAGCCUUCAGCUGUUCAACGUUUCUUUCAAAUGGAACACACCAGGGUCAAAUUCCAACGCUUCAGAGGGGCAGCAUAGUGCAUUAGUGGAAGAGUUUCUCAACACUAGAAUUCCCACUGAACCACAGUUUACCGAACACCUUUUAGCUUGCAGGCUUCAGAAACAGCUUAUGACAAACCUCAAACAGAUUUCAACUGAGGACACAAACACAGCAGGUUUGCCACCAAAAGGGACACCAAUGCAGAUGUCCUGCAUAGAAGACGAAAUUGACCGAAUGAGUGAGUCUUUCUUGCAGCUGAGCGUGCAGCUACAGAAGAGAGCUCAAAUGAGCACAUGGCUAAAGGAGAGAGAAAAUGGAGCUGGCAACCAUUCUGUGCAGGCAAUACCAACGAGCAUACCAAGUCUCAGUCGUAAUGGAACGAUCCUGCUGGAGCUGAAGAGAUCCUAUGUAUCACAGCGCCUCAACGAGCUCCAAAUGACAUUAGGCCGCAUCAGACAGAGCCAGCAGCGUGACAGCGAGUCAAAAAAUGGAACAAGAGGCCGCAUGCAAACCGACAGCAGCGCCACUCAGCAGGAGCAGAGCGACCAUUAUCCUGGCGUAGCUGAUUGGGGUCCGCUUGGCGGCCAGCGGCCGGACAGUUUUCCAUCUGACACGAGUCACAGCCAGCAAAGAGCAGAGAGCAGAGGUCCCGGUAACUCUAAACCGGAGAGUCGUAUAUCCGACCAGCUGAUGAGUGACACUGUCCAGAGCAACAACCCAGACGCAUCACUAGACUGCUAGAAGUCGUGUCUCUGUAUCCCAAGGGUGCAGGAGGCUUUGGUACACGUUUGUUUUGAUGCACAGAAUAAUACAAUUUCUUGUAUGUUUAAUCAGAGCUAAGUGUGUUGUUUUUAAUAAUGUAUGAUCUUGAAUUCUCAGGCAGGACUUAUUGUGUUCUGUUUAUUACCAUAUUCUAAAGAAGACGAUAAUCUUCAACUCGGUAGAUUCAAAAUGUGCUUCUGUGUUGUUUCUUACUCACAAACACUUCUCCCUUUUGUAGCGGUGACAACCUCUGUCUUCAUAAGUAUUUCAUGUUUGUCCGUUUUCUUCAUCUCAAAGCUCCAUUCAAAAUCUUGCUGGAAAGGUCUAUGCUUCCUUCCUCACUCGGGUUCCUCGGUUUGUCUGACGCACAGGGUUCUGGUUCUUUUAAUAGAAAGUGAGUAUUCCUACAGGGGACUGCGGGCCAAAUCAGAAGGUCAGAUGGAACAAGUCUUCACUUACUAUCAGUGUUAGCUUAGAGCUCUGUGACAACUCCCCCGAGGUGCAAUUUGGCAUUGCCCUGUAGAUUUGUGUGUGUGUGUAUGUGUAUGUGUUUGUGUGCGUACGAGGGGUGUGGUUCAGUGACUCCUUGAGAUUAUACGCCUUAUCAAUUAGAUUAGCUGCUAUGUGUUAGUGAUUUGGCCUCACGGUGAGACAAGGCAUCAUAUAACACGGCUCCUGAGCCCUGUGUUUCUACAUUAGCGGUACAGCGUUAUGUUUGCUCUAGUUGUUGGGCUCAACACAAGUGUUAUUUUUAGACACCGUCUUUUGUGAUUUGUGUGUGACAGUAUGUGUAUAUAUGUUUGAAUACUAUAUGUAUACGAUUGCAAAAUAUCCAAAUUAAAUACAAAACAUAUUCCAUGAGGUCUGCCAUGUACUCUAAUACAAUGCUAAAUGCUAAAGUUCUAACAGUGGGUCAAGAAUCAGCUGUCUUUUGUUGUAUAAACACAGCAAAACCUUUUUUUUUAAUUGCAUUGGAAUAGCAGAUUUCUUUGUGUACAUUUGUGAAUUCAAUACAUGGAUUAUAUAAUUGCAUAGAGUGCUGCACAGAUACAGAUGCAUCUAGAAUGCAUAUGAAAGAUGCUUGUAGAGAUAAACCAAAUUCCGACGUUAAGUUACAGUAUAUAUUUUUUCUAGCAAACCCCCACAAGAUUUACAUCUCAGUUUCCAACAUGUUUCAUCCACGGCAGUCUGCCGUAAUCAUGUUAUAAUCUUGAAAUCCUUCCAAAUCCCUAGAAAUCUGCUCUCCUCUGACCCAAAACUGGCCCUGUACACAUGCACACGCGUAUGUAUACAUACAUGCUCUCACUAACACACGCUCAUGUGUCAACUGCUGGUGAAUGCUGUUUUCUUGCUCUCCAGUCUUGGAAUUGAUGCACCCUUUUUUGGGAUGCAUUUACCAUAAAAUACGCAAAAGUGCUUCAUUCAUCACCUGCUGUGAAACCCCUUUGAGCUGCACACAGAAAAACACAGAGUGUAAAAGCACAUGAUUUAAUACAUAUGUUAAAUCAUUUUCUUUGAGAGGAUUUUCUUUUAUGACUAAGUCAAAACAUUAAGCUCUUAAAAAAUAUAGAGCUGCGUUUGAGCCUUCCUGUUUUAAGCCUGUGGUCUGUCGCUAAGGAGGUCUCUCGUCACCAUGGCACUGCAUUACUGUUUCUAUGGUUUCCUUAUCUGCAGGAUGUGGUUCAUCCAAGCCUGCCAUAUUUAGUCUGCUUCUC
Gasterosteus aculeatus aculeatus (three-spined stickleback) is the source of this 4877-nucleotide long non-coding RNA. Lineage: Eukaryota; Metazoa; Chordata; Actinopteri; Perciformes; Gasterosteidae. The record is from Ensembl.